UGAGCAGUAUGUACCUGGUCUGCUGCGCUGGAAGGGUGUGUUAUUGGAGCGACAGGUGAAGGAAGUGCUGGAUGAGAUUCAGGAACCUUGCCAAAAUCCAGAUCCUACACAUGUCACCUUUGUUCUUCUGAAGGGAUUUUUUUGUUGUAAAUAGCUUGAGGUCAGAGGGGAACAGACAUCUGAAUACAGUUCACAGCAGUCCGGAGUUCCUGAUCUCAUCGCUCUAGAUGUUGAAGCGAGUAACAAGAGAGUGCUUAACAUUCUCAGAAUGAUUCUGAGUGACCAAUCAACCCCUGAGGACUUUGACACUGCAGCUGAGGUGCUGAAAACAUGGAGCAAACUGAACAACAGCUUCUCUCAAGACUGGCUUUGUGAGUACCUUCAGGAAAUAGAUCAGUUUGUUGAGAACCACUUUCCCUCGCUGCCAGCAGAGGGACCACAAGGAUCUCAGUUAGAGCAGAUGCAAGAAUUUCUAAACAGUGCACAGAGUAUUAUAUAUGAUGAGGUGUGUCGAUUAACACCUUUACUGAAAGAUGCUGGACUGCUAGUUCAUCUGAUGGACAGUUACAGCCAUCACCUUUUUACCAACCUGGACCUGCUACUAAACAAAGAUCUUUCAGCGAAUGAAAUCUUCUGCCUUCUAAUGUGGGGAAAAAAUGUUUUCUUCAGUCCAGACUCACAGCAUUUCUUCAGAGUGUACGACCCUCUGCUGUUGACAGGUUGGUUUGAGAGAGCAACAAGGAAGCUGCUGCCAAAACUGGAGGAUGACAUCUCCACGACUCUACAGAACAUCCGACACUAUGAUGAGGAACAUGGACAUAGUGAGGACUCAAUGGAUGAAGAAACUUUCAUCAGAGUUCACUUAGAUGUCACCCAGUGUCUGAAUGCUGUUAUUAACAAUUCUAAAGAAUUUAGUAACACCCUGAUGUGUACAGCACAGACGCUCUGCCUUAAAGAGCUUCAUCAUUUUGUUCAGGAGUAUGCACAUGCACAGAAAAAAUGUCUGGGAAAACAGAAACCCCUGAACUCAAAAUAUGUGCAUCUGUUUCGGCUCAUCAGCACCAGUAGGCAACUCAGAUUUUUUGCUGAUCGACUCAACAAUCCGGAUAUUAACAACAGUAACGACCUCUCAAACAUCAUCUGCAUGUUAGAGGAGCUGGAAGAUCACGUUCUGUCAAUUGUACAGAAGAUGAUGAAACACUUAGCGCAGGGCUAUUUGAGAAAAUAUUUCAAAAAAGAAGGUGAGCAAAUUCAAAUGCUGACAGAGGGCAUUCAAAAGCGGUGUGCAUCUCUGCCUCAGGCUCAUGUGGGAAAAGAGAUUCAGGAGAUCUUUGUAAAUGUAGCCUAUGACUGCAUUUCACACGUAUAUCUGGAUUGCCUGAUGAAGAGCAAGUUCAAGCGGCUAGAGAAGAGAUGGGGAAAUGUCGGAGAAAGGAUGAGAGAGGAUGCUCUCAGUUUUCACAACACAUUUACUGAACUGAAUGGCAGUGAUGACCAGAGGUACCAUCUCCUUCAGAGAAUGAGUGAAGUUUUGCUCUGCAGUGAUGUAGAUGCACUGAAGAUUACCUGUUGUGAUUUGUUCAGGGAUUUCCCUCAAGACAGUGAGCAGUAUGUACCUGGUCUGCUGCGCUGGAAAGGUGUGUUAUCAGAGCGACAGGUGAAGGAAGUGCUGACUGUGAGCCGGGAUCUCGUUCUGGAUCUAAAGCCUAGACGUGUCACAUGUCAGCGUCUGAAGGGGCUUUGCUGUUGUCUUUGA
Long non-coding RNA from Cyprinus carpio (common carp), 1756 nucleotides. Lineage: Eukaryota; Metazoa; Chordata; Actinopteri; Cypriniformes; Cyprinidae. The record is from Ensembl.